AUUCUACCCAUGUGGGGAAGGAUGAGAAGCUUCGACUAAGGUUCGAUUCGAGCGAAAGCGAGAAAGCGUUGCCGCAGGCAACGACCCGAAGGGCGAAGCGCGCAGCGCUGAGUAAUCCUUCCCCUACCACCA
Molecule: small RNA, 132 nt
Filed under: Salmonella enterica
Lineage: Bacteria; Pseudomonadati; Pseudomonadota; Gammaproteobacteria; Enterobacterales; Enterobacteriaceae
Also listed under: 15 other names
Description: RtT sRNA
Rfam family: RtT RNA
About the family: This family represents a bacterial cis-regulatory element known as RtT RNA. The exact function of RtT is unknown although it is thought that it may be involved in changing the cellular response in relation to amino acid starvation.
Source: RNAcentral